UACGUAGGUGGCAAGCGUUAUCCGGAUUUACUGGGUGUAAAGGGCGUGUAGGCGGGAAAGCAAGUCAGAUGUGAAAACCAUGGGCUCAACCUGUGGCCUGCAUUUGAAACUGUUUUUCUUGAGUACUGGAGAGGCAGACGGAAUUCCUAGUGUAGCGGUGAAAUGCGCAGAUAUUAGGAGGAACACCAGUGGCGAAGGCGGUCUGCUGGACAGCAACUGACGCUGAGGCGCGAAAGCGUGGGGAGCAAACAGG
RNAcentral lists this ribosomal RNA (253 nucleotides) under uncultured bacterium. RNAcentral's name for it is "partial 16S ribosomal RNA". It matches the Rfam family "Bacterial small subunit ribosomal RNA", at positions 524 to 776 of the family's 1533-position model. The record is from RNAcentral.